GAAUAUGUAUAGGCUGGUAAUUCAAUUCUAGAGGGAACUGGAAUAUUAAAGAAGAACCUUCAUGUUGCGGCUCCAUCCGACUCGAGUCUUCCAGUGGCAACGAGCAGCUCCGCCGGCUCGAGGAGCGUUCAUUUGCUGGAUGCACUCAUGUAACCAACUUCCGGAUAAUCAAGGAGCUGAGCAUUAUACACCCCCUUCACCCAACCUCCACCUGCUGCCCCGUACACACCUCGAGUAA
RNAcentral lists this long non-coding RNA (238 nucleotides) under Sus scrofa (pig). RNAcentral describes it as "lncRNA (ENSSSCG00030036872.1)". Lineage: Eukaryota; Metazoa; Chordata; Mammalia; Artiodactyla; Suidae. The record is from RNAcentral.